GGGCGCUAGCCAGUGAGUUACGAUGCGAAGGAGCACUUUUUCAAGCAAGGCUCUGCGGGGGGCGACGCCGCGAUUCGUCCGACUUCCCCCGGUGAGAAGGACACCUGUGCGGCGCGGGCUGCCGGGAGGGGCUGCUCGAGCAUUCCGCGGGGGAAUCCCGUUGCAUUGUGGGAGGAGCGGAAGUCCAGGAAGUGGCUCCGCCGCGCUCCGGAGGCGCCGUACGUGCCGCGAGGGGAGCCGCUCGGAGCGCUGUCGCGUGCGCUCCUGGUCGCGCGCCCGUACGGACUGCGAGUGCGUGCCGCGGAGCCGCGCAGACAGAAGCGGCGCUUCAUUAUGCGUUCGGGGCGCGGGCUGCCAUGGCGGGCGCGUUCGCGAUGGUGAGCGCCGCCGGACGCGGCGGCGCUCGGCUUCUCCUCAGCGCCACACUCGUGGUCGCAGCGUUCGGCGCGAGAGCGGUGCGAGCGCAGAAAGGAGACGCCUGCGGGAAUACAGUUCUGGGGCCCCAUAGCGGCACACUCUCCUCCAUACGCUACCCGCAGACGUACCCCAAUCACACGGUGUGUGAGUGGGAGGUGCGUGUGGCCCCUGGCCAGAAGCUCCAGUUCAAGUUUGGCGACGUUGACAUUGAGGAUUCAAACUGCCACUUCAGCUACCUGCGACUCUACAAUGGCAUUGGCCCCGGGAGGACGGAGAUAGUGAAGUACUGUGGACUGGGCCUGCAGGUUCCUGACGUGAUCCAGUCCAGCGGCAACGAAGUCACGGUGCAGUUCAUGAGCGGGACUCACCAGUCUGGACGAGGGUUCCUGCUGUCCUACUCAACAACAGGGCACCCAGAUUUGAUCACUUGCCUGGACAAAGGAAUCCACUUCAUGGACGCCGAAUUCAGUAAAUACUGUCCCGCUGGCUGCUUGAUGGUCUCGGGGGAGGUUUCCGGGACAAUCCCACACGGGUACAGAGAUUCGUCCUCUGUGUGCCUGGCGGGCAUCCACGCAGGGGUGGUGUCCAACGCGUUGGGCGGCCAGAUCAGCGUUGUCACCAGCAAAGGCAUCCCGCGAUAUGAGGUUUCCCUCCGUUUUUCUGUGUUUCUCGGUCAUGAUGCACUGAUGAUGGGCGUUGAAUCUGCGCGUGAACCUCCCGCUUCUGAUCUCCGCUCUCCAGGCUGCUACGGGACGCUGGGCAUGGAGUCGAGCGUGGUUCGUGGCUUCCAGAUCUCCUCCUCCUCCGUGUGGGAGUGGAGCGACGAAAAUGGCCAGACGCACGUGUGGGCGCCGUCGGGAGCUCGGCUGAAGCAUUCCGGCCUUCCCUGGGCCGCCGCCGACAACGACCAGCACCAGUGGCUCCAAGUGGACCUGAAGAAGAAGAAGAGGAUCACAGGAAUCAUCACCACGGGCUCCACCCUCCUUGAGUACCAGUUCUUCAUCUUGGCCUACCGGGUCCAGUACAGCCAGGACGGCAGGCAGUGGCAGGCCUUCAGGGAGGCCGACAGCGACCAGGACAAGAUUUUCCAAGGAAACACCAAUUACCUCCAUGAAGUGCGCAAUAACUUCAUCCCCCCGAUGGAGGCGCGGUACGUGCGCGUCAGGCCCACCCAAUGGCAUCAGCGCAUCGCCCUGAAGAUGGAGCUGCUGGGCUGUCAGCUGCCGACAGGUAUGUUGGACACGGUGGUGAGCGCUGGUUCUGUGGCGCUGACAGCGUUACUUCCUCCGCUGCGGUCUGACAGGACCACCUUCACACCUGGCAUCCGAAAUACCACCAUGACCCCUAGUGACAGUGUGGCGCUGGUGGCAGUGUUGGUGCCUGUCUUGGUCACUGGCCUAUCUUCUCUCAUCCUGAGCCUGUUGUGUAUCUGGCACUGCAGGAACAGGAAGAAGAGCACCAAGGGGGCUUAUGACCUGCCUCACUGGGACCGUACCGGCUUAUGGAAAAGCAUGAAGCAGUUCUUGCCAGCGAAGGUGUCGGAGGGUGACGAGUCGUCUGUGCGCUACAGCAGCAGCGGAGUGAGCCACCUGAGGGGACGUAAGGGUGCCCCUGUGGUGCAGGCCGAACCUGCAGAGUACGCGCAGCCCUUGGUGGGAGGUGUGGUCGGCACACUCGGCCAAAGAUCCACCUUUAAGCCUGAAGAAGGAGGCGACCCGGGUUACGCGGACCCCGACACGUACGACGCUCCUCUCACAGACAUAUACCAUGCGUACGCUGAGCCCCUCCCUGCUUCCGGGGCAGAGUAUGCGACGCCCAUCGUGGUCGACAUUGCAGGUUGCUCGGCUGCUGCGGGAACCCUGGGACAGGCAUCUAUCUCCACCUUCAAAAGGCCUGGCCCUGGGGCCCUCCUCGCAAGGACAGGUAGCGGUCACUCCGGGACGAACGCGCAGUACGACACGCCCAAGACUGCACCCGGACAGGCCCCGCUUACAGAGGACCUGGUCUAUCAGGUCCCCCAGAAUGGUACCCAGAAAGCACAAGAAGAGAGUAGCUGAAGGGAGCUGCAGAAGGAUGGGCAACUCUUCCCAUGACUUCCUGCCUUACCUCUCACCCUCUGACGUUAAUGCGGGCAGGUAGAGGCCGGACGCUCCCACAAACGCGAGAAGACCUGGGAUUGUUCACUGAGAGCACGUAGCCUUAUUUCACAGCGUCACCGACGUGGUAAAUGUGUACACACCGGUAUGUGUGAUCAGUGUAGAGCCUUCGAGGGCAUCACACCAUUCCAGUCCCGUCACUGAAACCAAGCCGAUGAAUGUUCACUGCUGUUUCUGCAGGCACAGCGCCUUUCGCUUUGGUCUCAUCUUUCAUUUUCCUGUAACGUCAAACUGUGAGGUUUUUACAUUCCGACAGAUUUUACUCUUUCUUGUUUUUUAAUCGUUUUCUACAUCGGGAAGCAACACUGAUUAGAUUCAGUCCGUUAGUCGAGGGGUGGGCAGAAUCAGUUUCUGGCCAAUGGGUUUCCUGAUCCUUUCUCUGCUGACUCAGCUCUUUUAUUCCCAUUGAAAUGAGAAUAUUGAGUCCCAUUUCUUCAGCCCUUGUGGACUUUAAUUGUCCAUCCCUGUUUUUGACUGCUUCUUUAAACAAAUAGCGAUCGGCAGCUUUUGUUCUUAUGGCACAUAGAAACUCGCACUUGUAUGUUCUCCAUAGAACACCGGGGUCAUUGGCCGAUUCCCAGCCUUCAUCCUUUUACAUCGCCCUUUCCAGAGGUCAUAUUAGGUGAAGGGGGGGGACCUUGAAUCUCUCAGAUUUUACUAUGGUACUGUUUGAAAAGCUUCCUUUGCUGUUUGAGCAGCGUGCUUUUCAAAUUGGUGUUUGAAGGUAGGGUGGGGGGGGGGGUCACCGCUUGAGUUUCAAAAUGUACUGUAUGCAUGAAAUUUCCAAGGUGACAGUGUUUUCUGGAAGCAUCAGAACACUUAUUUCCUGCUGAAAAGAGUACGGUUCAAUCCAGUCACUGUAGUCAUGCCACCGAGAAAUUCACUCUACUGUUGAGCUGUUGGCUUUGCCUCCUUAUGUGUUUCACACUGAGUGAUCAGUCGCCACAUAACUGUUGUUCACUGUUGGACAUGUUUGUUCUAGAACACUUGUACAGAAGCCAAAAAUUAACUAUUAGAGAUGUUCUAAUUGUGUGCCAAAGUAGUGUGACUGAUACAUAAUGCCAGUUUGUGGCAGUGUUAAUGCCUUUAAUACUUUCUCACAAGAUUAAAAUAUCUCACUAUUAGUUGGUUUGUGCAGCAUGAGGUGUAAUGAGCAUCAUUUGCCGGUGUCAAUGGCAUGUCAGUCAGGUGUUGUAUAUUUAGGUUUUCAGAUCUGAUUUUGCAUGCAAAAAUGCCCACGUAGGGAUUGUCAUUAUUGGAACUGCCAGACUUCAGGUAGUCUACUAGCAAAAAAGGAUGCAACAGCUCUCAAACUGUGAAGCAGUGAGCGAUUUAAUUUGCACAAAACUGAAGAUGCAUUUUGGUUAGUCUUCAUGCUGCCUUCAUUUCCAUUGAUACUGUUUGUGUAACGAUGUCAUAACCAGUCGCAUCCUGUGCAUUGUAUACGUGUCUCUCGUCACGUAAUAUAAAUGCGCUCUGAAGGCAUUUAGCCAGAAUGCGUCUCUUUUUAAAUUGUUUUACAAGGUUUGAGCGCCGUCCAAUCCUCCCCCCCAACUUGCAUUAAGCUGGGAUUCCAGCACCCGAGCGCCUCUUUAAUUGUGGCAUGGUUGUACCAUUUGAAAUGCAGCACACAACUUUAAAUAUGAAAGCGUCUCACUGUGAAUCUACUUAACUAUGAUGUACUCUGGAGGGUGAGGAUAUGUUCAUAAGUGUGUAACCGAUGUGAUUCAGCAGUUGUUAGUCUAGUUAACGGCUAGCUGCAAUAAGGUAUGUACAUAAGCUGGUGGAAAUCAUUGUCAAAAAUGAGACCCUUUCAUUAGCAGUUUUAGAUGUGCAAUGUAUUUGGUCUUCCAAUCACUGACUGUGGGUAGCUGUAAUGAAAAAUGUUUCAACUAAUCAAAUCGCAUGAAUGUACUCCCUGUUGUACCUCUGUGUGCUUUAGUCAGUGGUGUUAGACUGUAUAGAGAGAAUUUAAAAAUGUUUAUUGUAUGUUUAAUAAAUGGGUUGUUGGUUAUACA
Scleropages formosus (Asian bonytongue) is the source of this 4591-nucleotide long non-coding RNA. The record is from Ensembl. Lineage: Eukaryota; Metazoa; Chordata; Actinopteri; Osteoglossiformes; Osteoglossidae.